GACGAACGCUGGCGGCGUGCCUAAUACAUGCAAGUAGAACGCUGAAGGAGGAGCUUGCUUCUCUGGAUGAGUUGCGAACGGGUGAGUAACGCGUAGGUAACCUGCCUGGUAGCGGGGGAUAACUAUUGGAAACGAUAGCUAAUACCGCAUAAUAGUAGAUGUUGCAUGACAUUUGCUUAAAAGGUGCAAUUGCAUCACUACCAGAUGGACCUGCGUUGGAUUAGCUAGUUGGUGGGGUAACGGCUCACCAAGGCGACGAUACAUAGCCGAACUGAGAGGGGGAUCGGCCACACUGGGACUGAGACACGGCCCAGACUCCUACGGGAGGCAGCAGUAGGGAAUCUUCGGCAAUGGACGGAAGUCUGACCGAGCAACGCCGCGUGAGUGAAGAAGGUUUUCGGAUCGUAAAGCUCUGUUGUAAGAGAAGAACGAGUGUGAGAGUGGAAAGUUCACACUGUGACGGUAUCUUACCAGAAAGGGACGGCUAACUACGUG
This 495-nucleotide ribosomal RNA is filed under the name uncultured bacterium. Its description in RNAcentral is "partial 16S ribosomal RNA". It matches the Rfam family "Bacterial small subunit ribosomal RNA", at positions 28 to 507 of the family's 1533-position model. The record is from RNAcentral.